This 253-nucleotide ribosomal RNA is filed under the name uncultured bacterium. RNAcentral describes it as "partial 16S ribosomal RNA". It matches the Rfam family "Bacterial small subunit ribosomal RNA", at positions 524 to 776 of the family's 1533-position model. The record is from RNAcentral.
UACGGAGCUUGCGAGCGUUACCCGGAUUUACUGGGUGUAAAGGGCGUGUAGGCGGUCUCUCAAGUCCGAUGCUAAAGACCGAAGCUCAACUUCGGGGGUGCGUUGGAUACUGUGAGGCUAGACGGUCGGAGGGGGUAGCGGAAUUUCCGGAGUAGCGGUGAAAUGCGCAGAUACCGGAAGGAACGCCGAUAGCGAAGGCAGCUACCUGGACGAUUGGUGACGCUGAGACGCGAAAGCGUGGGGAGCAAACCGG